RNAcentral lists this long non-coding RNA (598 nucleotides) under Fukomys damarensis (Damara mole-rat). RNAcentral's name for it is "lncRNA (ENSFDAG00000026115.1)". Lineage: Eukaryota; Metazoa; Chordata; Mammalia; Rodentia; Bathyergidae. The record is from RNAcentral.
CAACUUGGGUGUGGCAGAGGCCUCACUCUCAGGCCUGGAGCCCUUGAAAUGGCUUGGGCUACUGUUCUGAACUUGGGGUCAGGGAGCAGCCGUCUGGCCUGAGUCCAUCCUCAGAGGGUAAGGGGCAUCUGUCAGGCAUCAUCUAGACUCUUCACCGUCCCUCACAGGACUUGACCAUCUUGAAUCUUCCUGGAUCUAAGAAGGAAUGUCCCGAGAUCUGGCUUCCCUCUCCAGGAGCAGGCUAGGCUGGCAAAGCUCCCAGAAAAGCCCUGCCAACCCUACCCCUUUGGCUGGAGCUGUGGUGAAAAGCUUGGUUACACUCGGCUUCUAUGGCUUCUAUUGUCUGCACAUCCCAUAUGCCAAUUGGCUGGGAGUGGCAGGCUGGUGCCGGAGUAGCAGGGAAGAAACUGGGGUAACCCCGAAGUCAGGGGCCACUGGACCUGGCAGCUGCCCUGGAGGUGCCCCCCACCCUGCUUUAAGGAAGCAUCAGGAGGAUCCUGGCAUCCGAGCCCAGCCUUGGACACCCCAUGGGGACUCUUGAGGCAAGGUACGUGAAAUGGGUCUCCCCACCCCACAAAAUCUGAGAGUCGGGCCCAGG